This 325-nucleotide unclassified non-coding RNA is filed under the name soil metagenome. RNAcentral's name for it is "partial contains 5.8S ribosomal RNA, internal transcribed spacer 2, and large subunit ribosomal RNA". The stretch from base 1 to 120 matches the Rfam family "5.8S ribosomal RNA", at positions 35 to 154 of the family's 154-position model. The record is from RNAcentral.
GAUGAAGAACGCGGCGAAAUGCGAUAAGUAAUGCGAAUUGCAGAAUUCAGUGAGUCAUCGAACCUUUGAACGCACAUUGCGCCCUGUGGUAUUCCGCAGGGCAUGCCUGUUCGAGCGUCAUUUCAACCCUCAAGCCCCGCUUGGUGUUGGGCCCCGCCCGCCGUGGCCGGCCCUAAAGACAGUGGCGGCGCCGCCUGGCCCUCAGCGUAGUACAGCUCUCGCUCCAGGGUCCGGCGGCCGCCUGCCAGAACCCCCCCAACUCUGUGGUUGACCUCGGAUCAGGUAGGGAUACCCGCUGAACUUAAGCAUAUCAAUAAGCGGAGGA